This 253-nucleotide ribosomal RNA is filed under the name uncultured bacterium. RNAcentral's name for it is "partial 16S ribosomal RNA". It matches the Rfam family "Bacterial small subunit ribosomal RNA", at positions 524 to 776 of the family's 1533-position model. The record is from RNAcentral.
UACGUAGGGGGCAAGCGUUGUCCGGAAUCAUUGGGCGUAAAGCGCGUGUAGGCGGCCAGAUAAGUCCGCUGUGAAAUCUCGAGGCUCAACUUCGAGCUGUCGGUGGAAACUGUCUGGCUAGAGUCCGGAAGGGGAGAAUGGAAUUCCUGGUGUAGCGGUGAAAUGCGCAGAUAUCAGGAAGAACACCCGUGGCGAAGGCGGUUCUCUGGGCCGAUACUGACGCUGAGGAGCGAAAGCGUGGGGAGCGAACAGG